CAUCCACCCUAGACGUAGUACAUUGACAUGAUGGACAUGAUGGAGCAGCUGGUGUCUGAGUGGAAGUUUGAUCAGACCACAGCUACGUAACUUUUGCUCUUGAGAAGGAAGCAGCGCAGUAGUCCAGUGUGUAGCUGAGCAGACGUGUAAGAAAUCCAGGAGACGUUGUCGGCGCAUCAAGGAGGGACGAUGGUGGCACCAUCCAAUCAGGAAACGUUACAUCUCAAUUUCACAUUUCAGUGAUUGUUGCAGAUGUUUCUCUCUAACCCAUCCUCUCUCUCUCUCUUCUUUUACCAGAACGAUGCAUUUUGGGUAUCUGUGUGUGACUGGUUAGAGGAACUCCACUGAGGUG
Molecule: long non-coding RNA, 352 nt
Organism: Trichomycterus rosablanca
Lineage: Eukaryota; Metazoa; Chordata; Actinopteri; Siluriformes; Trichomycteridae
Exons: 3
Source: RefSeq, a predicted model, not a curated record